GCAUAUCAAUAAGCGGAGGAAAAGAAACCAACAGGGAUUGCCCCAGUAACGGCGAGUGAAGCGGCAACAGCUCAAAUUUGAAAUCUGGCUUCGGCCCGAGUUGUAAUUUGCAGAGGAUGUAUUUGGCGCGGUGCCUUCCGAGUUCCCUGGAACGGGACGCCAUAGAGGGUGAGAGCCCCGUCUGGUUGGACACCAAGCCUAUGUAAUACUCCUUCGACGAGUCGAGUAGUUUGGGAAUGCUGCUCUAAAUGGGAGGUAAAUCUCUUCUAAAGCUAAAUACCGGCCAGAGACCGAUAGCGCACAAGUAGAGUGAUCGAAAGAUGAAAAGCACCUUGAAAAGGGGGUUAAACAGUACGUGAAAUUGUUGAAAGGGAAGCGUUUAUGACCAGACUUGUGCCGUGUGGCUCAUCCGGGGUUCUCCCCGGUGCACUCCAUACGGUUCAGGCCAACAUCGGUUCUCGUUGGGGGAUAAGAACAGUAGGAACGUGGCCCUCUUCGGAGGGUGUUAUAGCCUAUUGUACGAUACUCUGAUGGGGACCGAGGACCGCGCUUCGGCUAGGAUGUUGGCGUAAUGGUCAUUAGCGACCCGUCUUGAAACACGGACCAAGGAGUCGUCCAUUAGAGCGAGCGUUUGGGUGUAAAACCCGCACGCGUAAUGAAAGUGAAAUUAGGUGAGAGCUUCGGCGCAUCAUCGACCGAUCCUGAAGUUUACGGAUGGAUUUGAGUAAGAGUUUUAACGGACGGACCCGAAAGACAGUGAACUAUGCUUGAAUAGGGUGAAGCCAGAGGAAACUCUGGUGGAGGCUCGCAGCGGUUCUGACGUGCAAAUCGAUCGUCAAAUUUGAGCAUGGGGGCGAAAGACUAAUCGAACUGUCUAGUAGCUGGUUACCGCCGAA
Molecule: ribosomal RNA, 896 nt
Filed under: Melanconium sphaeroideum
Lineage: Eukaryota; Fungi; Ascomycota; Sordariomycetes; Diaporthales; Melanconidaceae
Description: LSU rRNA
Rfam family: Eukaryotic large subunit ribosomal RNA
Source: RNAcentral